RNAcentral lists this ribosomal RNA (253 nucleotides) under uncultured bacterium. RNAcentral describes it as "partial 16S ribosomal RNA". It matches the Rfam family "Bacterial small subunit ribosomal RNA", at positions 524 to 776 of the family's 1533-position model. The record is from RNAcentral. RNAcentral also lists the same sequence under 1 other name.
UACAGGGGGGGCAAGCGUUGUUCGGAAUUACUGGGCGUAAAGGGUUCGUAGGUGGCCAACUAAGUCAUACGUGAAAUCCCUCAGCUUAACUGGGGAACUGCGCCUGAUACUGGUUGGCUUGAGUGCAGGAGAGGAACGCGGAAUUCCAGGUGUAGCGGUGAAAUGCGUAGAUAUCUGGAGGAACACCGGUGGCGAAGGCGGCGUUCUGGACUGCAACUGACACUGAGGAACGAAAGCCAGGGGAGCAAACGGG